Molecule: long non-coding RNA, 208 nt
Organism: Arachis stenosperma
Lineage: Eukaryota; Viridiplantae; Streptophyta; Magnoliopsida; Fabales; Fabaceae
Exons: 3
Source: RefSeq, a predicted model, not a curated record
CAAUUUACGGGUGAUCGAAACCAUGGGAAAAUUGCCAGCGCCGGUGAACGGUGGUGGCGCCGUGCUUAAGAGAAAGACACCUUCGGAACUUCGGGGAGAGCAGUUGAAGAGGGGAAGUGCUGUCACUGAUAAAUCUUCACUCCCAUUGAGUGAUACUACAAACACCAAUCAGAUGGAUAAUGUGGAUAAGAGACCAGGUCUGUUGAGG